RNAcentral lists this ribosomal RNA (496 nucleotides) under uncultured bacterium. RNAcentral's name for it is "partial 16S ribosomal RNA". It matches the Rfam family "Bacterial small subunit ribosomal RNA", at positions 28 to 507 of the family's 1533-position model. The record is from RNAcentral.
GAUGAACGCUGGCGGCGUGCCUAAUACAUGCCAGUCGAGCGAACAGACGAGGAGCUUGCUCCUCUGACGUUAGCGGCGGACGGGUGAGUAACACGUGGAUAACCUACCUAUAGACUGGGUUAACUCCGGGAAACCGGAGCUAAUACCGGAUAAUAUAUUGAACCCCAUGGUUCAAUAGUGAAAGACGGUUUUGCGGUCACUUAUAGAUGGAUCCGCGCCGCAUUAGCUAGUUGGUAGGGUAACGGCUUACCAAGGCGACGAUGCGUAGCCGACCUGAGAGGGUGAUCGGCCACCCUGGAACUGAGACACGGUCCAGACUCCUACGGGAGGCAGCAGUAGGGAAUCUUCCGCAAUAGGCGAAAGCCUGACGGAGCAACGCCGCGUGAGUGAUGAAGGUGUUCGGAUCGUAAAACUCUGUUAUUGGGGAAGAACAAAUGUGUAAGUAACUAUGCACGUCUUGACGGUACCUAAUCAGAAAGCCACGGCUAACUACGUG